UACGUAGGGGGCAAGCGUUGUCCGGAUUUACUGGGCGUAAAGAGCGCGUAGGCGGAGAGUUAAGCGUGCCUUGAAAGCCCCCGGCUCAACCGGGGAAGGUGGGUGCGAACUGGCUUUCUUGAGGGCGAUAGAGGGGGGCGGAAUUCCUGGUGUAGCGGUGAAAUGCGUAGAGAUCAGGAGGAACACCCGUGGCGAAGGCGGCCCCCUGGGUCGGCCCUGACGCUGAGGCGCGAAAGCUAGGGGAGCAAACGGG
This 253-nucleotide ribosomal RNA is filed under the name uncultured bacterium. RNAcentral describes it as "partial 16S ribosomal RNA". It matches the Rfam family "Bacterial small subunit ribosomal RNA", at positions 524 to 776 of the family's 1533-position model. The record is from RNAcentral.